GUGGGGAAUUUUGGACAAUGGGCGCAAGCCUGAUCCAGCAAUGCCGCGUGCAGGAAGAAGGCCUUCGGGUUGUAAACUGCUUUUGUACGGAACGAAACGGUCCUGGCUAAUAUCCGGGGCUAAUGACGGUACCGUAAGAAUAAGCACCGGCUAACUACGUGCCAGCAGCCGCGGUAAUACGUAGGGUGCGAGCGUUAAUCGGAAUUACUGGGCGUAAAGCGUGCGCAGGCGGUGCUGUAAGACAGGCGUGAAAUCCCCGGGCUCAACCUGGGAAUUGCGCUUGUGACUGCAGUGCUGGAGUACGGCAGAGGGGGAUGGAAUUCCGCGUGUAGCAGUGAAAUGCGUAGAUAUGCGGAGGAACACCGAUGGCGAAGGCAGUCCCCUGGGCCUGUACUGACGCUCAUGCACGAAAGCGUGGGGAGCAAACAGGAUUAGAUACCCGGUAGUCC
This 449-nucleotide ribosomal RNA is filed under the name uncultured bacterium. RNAcentral describes it as "bacterial SSU rRNA". It matches the Rfam family "Bacterial small subunit ribosomal RNA", at positions 354 to 796 of the family's 1533-position model. The record is from RNAcentral.